GAAUAGUGAUACCGUAGAGUAGAUUGCCGAACAAAAUACACGUAUAUAACAAGCACAAUAAACGAACGCACGAUAGGACGAGGUAGGCGCCAACGAUCACGAUCAACGUGCUUAUUUCACCAAUGGAAUUUCUGCUGCGAAACACGCGCCACAAAGAGAGUUCCUGAAGACAUGCCAAGGCUUUGUAGAACAGUUCGAACCAUGUUGUAAUACCAAGAGUACUGUAAUGUUAUGAUAGUAUAAAUACCAAACUUCUCGAUUGUGUUUGAUUUCAUAGGAUCCAAUGGUUAUGUUAGAUCGGUGUAGCUUUUUUUAUGUUGAAUUUUACUAGAACCAGAAUUCAUUUUGUUUACAUUUAUAUAUAUUUAGAAAUAUGCGAAUGAAUUAUCCAC
RNAcentral lists this unclassified non-coding RNA (392 nucleotides) under Bombus terrestris (buff-tailed bumblebee). Its description in RNAcentral is "misc RNA ENSBTSG00005027446.1". The record is from RNAcentral. Lineage: Eukaryota; Metazoa; Arthropoda; Insecta; Hymenoptera; Apidae.